GGGCGGUUAGCUCAGCUGGGAGAGCGCCUGCCUUACAAGCAGGAGGUCGGCGGUUCGAUCCCGUCACCGCCCA
Molecule: transfer RNA, 73 nt
Filed under: Actinomycetes bacterium
Lineage: Bacteria; Bacillati; Actinomycetota; Actinomycetes
Also listed under: 6 other names
Description: Actinobacteria bacterium tRNA-Val
Rfam family: tRNA
About the family: Transfer RNA (tRNA) molecules are approximately 80 nucleotides in length.
Source: RNAcentral